This 554-nucleotide ribosomal RNA is filed under the name Mediolabrus comicus. RNAcentral's name for it is "partial large subunit ribosomal RNA". It matches the Rfam family "Eukaryotic large subunit ribosomal RNA", at positions 74 to 637 of the family's 3401-position model. The record is from RNAcentral. Lineage: Eukaryota; Bacillariophyta; Thalassiosirophyceae; Thalassiosirales; Thalassiosiraceae.
AUUCCCCUAGUAACGGCGAGUGAAGCGGGAAGAGCUCACCAUGUGAAUCUCUAUAACCAGCAAUGGUAUAGCGAAUUGUGGUCUGGAGAAGUAUUGUCGGCCGUGAAUCCGGGCCAAGUCUCUUGGAAAAGGGCAGCUGAGAGGGUGAAACUCCCGUUCUUGCCUGGAAUCAUUGCGCUCUGGCACAUGCUUUCUACGAGUCGAGUUGUUUGGGAUUACAGCUCAAAGUAUGUCGUAACUUCGAUAUAAAGCUAAAUAUUGGUGGGACACCGAUAGUGUACAAGUACCGUGAGGGAAAGAUGCAAAGAACUUUGAAAAGAGAGUUAAAGAGUACCUGAAAUUGUUAAAAGGGAAGCGAAGGAAACCAGUGUUUGGCGAAUCCAUUCUUCCCAAGCUACUUGUAGUUUGGGCGCUGUGGUUAGCAAUAGUCAGCAUUGGCUUAAUCUGGGUCAAACGUUUGGUGGGUAGGCGGCUCUUCGGAGUUAGUGCCCAUCUUUCAUGCUCUGGAUUGGGCUGAGGUCAGUCACUCUGUGCUCGUGAUGCUGGCAAAAUGG